Long non-coding RNA from Phacochoerus africanus (Common warthog), 786 nucleotides. RefSeq lists it as uncharacterized. The transcript is spliced from 3 exons. NCBI's taxonomy places the organism in Eukaryota, Metazoa, Chordata, Mammalia, Artiodactyla, Suidae. The record is from RefSeq and is a predicted model, not a curated record.
GCUUCCCUUAAAAGACAGGGCUGGAAACAACCUUAGAGGGAAGGCUAAGAGCCUAGACAGCUGUAAAGAACAGCAGCCAUAGCACUUCCGAAGGGGGGAAUAUCAGAGACUCCAGGGAAUGAAGUUUCCAGAUGCUCAGUGGAACGGACUGCUAAGAAGGCUAUCCCAAGGAUGAUGCUAAAGACAGAAGGCCAGUGAAUGGUCGCGGGAAGGCAGGGCCAGUUCCCCCACCUUCAGUGUAAGGUGUAAACCUGGUGACCUCAGAGCCGGCGUGCCGGGAACAGGGCCUCCAGCACCGCUGAGUGACCUCCCUGGUAUGUUGAUUGAUUUGUUUGUUUUCCUAGGUUUAGUGGUGAGGAAUGGAGGUUCUGGGAUCUGAAUCCUACUCAUCUUCCAAUUUCUCUUCUCUGGGGAAGUUGAAGGGCAGGGAUUACAGGGUUCCAUUUAGGAAAACACUCAGAACCAGCUUCACAUGACCAUGAACCCAGGCAGCCCUCAGUCUGCAGAUUAAUCUCAGCAACCACAAGGAACUGAGGCUGUGGUACUGCCCGCCUCCUGGAGCUCUCUCAGCCUCUCAGGACAGGAGAUCUGACUUUCCUCCUUCCUCUGUGAUUGGCCAACCCCUCAAUUCUCCUUUAUUAAUGAAGAGUUUGCUACCCAAAGAUCUACAGAAAUCAGUGAACACAUUCAGUGUGACAUAGAGCUAUGGACAUUUCUUCCUCGUCAGCAUUUCCAUAGCAGUGAAAAGAUCAAUGGAAAGUACUUAAUUAAUAGCUAUGCAUUGAA